UAAUUACUCCAGUAGUUAUUUAGACAACUCACAAUUGCCUGAUUUGAGCACACAGUUGGAGGAUGUGCCAAAGGCAGGUGCAUACUUUUUUUUCUUUUUUUAAUUUAACAGUAGCACAAAUCUACAGGUUUAAUUCUUUACAUUGCCCUUUUGCCUCCCAAGAGAAUGCUACUUAUGCAUGUGUUCUUAUAUAAAAUGCAGUGUAUUACAAAGGCAGAAAAUACGUAUUUCCACAUGUUUAUAGUGGACUGGUCACUGUGAUAUAUACAGACUGACUGUAGAUGACUGUAUGAAUUCUAAAUCAAAUGCUGUGCCCUGUAUUGGACUAAAAUACAAUUUCAGUAUCGAGCUGUUAAGUAUUCAAAGCAUAUUUUNAUGGGCAUGGUGGGGAUGGGUCAACAGUUGGACUGGAUCAUCUCAGAGGUCUUUUCCAACAUUAACAAUUCUAUGAUAAAUAUGUAUGUUACAGCUCUUCUGGCAAGUAAAACAAACCCUCCAGUGCUAAGUGGUCCUCUAAAAUAGCUCACAUGCUUUUAGAUCUUAUAAUGAAUGCCCAAGCAGUGUUAAAGCAGCGUCCUUGGCAGCCACAGGCCUCUGUCACCAGGCAGGAAGCACCUGGUCAGCCUGAGUGCCAGCAAACAAAGCUCAGCACAUCAUUUAGAACGUUCCAGCACUGCGCUGGUUUGUGACAUUCACGUCCUCCUUCUAUGAGGAAGUUUCCUGAGUGGUGUGAAUCCAGCCAGCUGCUUCCAGGGAGAGCUGCACUGAACUCAUUUCAAACUACCUCAUUUUAAGCCACUCUGGGUAUGUUUUAUGUACAUAACAGACCCUGGGCAUCCUUAGAGGGCGAAUGGCACCCAAAAAGAAGAAAAAAAAAAAAGAAAAAAAAAGGAAAACUUCCUAAUUUCAAUAAACCCCAGCGCCCCGUUCUGCUGCUGCUGCCUCCGAGGGCUCGCAAGGAGCGGGCGGCAAGGGAGCUGCGCCACUGCCCAUGCCAAAGCCCGACCCGACCCCUUCCUCCUCGUCCUCCUCCGCCCCGCCAGGCUGCCGCCUUCCCGGGUGCCCCUCAGCCCCCCGCUUGCCCCAGUGCCGCGCAGGGAGCGGGGAGCAGGAAGCGAGACCCAGGAGCGGAGAGCAGCAACCACAAUCCAAAGGCUGCCGCGGCCUCACCGCCGCCUUGCGCGCCUGCGCGCAGGGAGAGGAGAAGGGGGGCGGGUGGGAGGCGGUGCUAUCGCGCGUCUCCGCGUGCAGGCAGGGAGCCCUUCCCCUUCCCUUCUCUUCCUUUCCCUUCCCCGGGCCUCCCCCACCGCCUCCCCCUGCCCCGCGUCCCUCGCAGGGCGCCGGGCCGGCGCGGGGGUCUGCGAGCAGCGCAGGGAGGGAGGGAGGGAGGCAGGGAGGGAGCGGGGAGAGAGAGAAAGAGAAAGAGAGAGAGAGAGAGAGAGGCUGAGCCAGAUCUUCAUGCCACUGCAGGCAGCAGCAGCAGCAGCAAAACUUCUGAAGGUUUGCAGAAGAUAGUAAGAGAACCACCAAGAAGGCUGUGGCAGUAUUCUGCUUUAAUGAAACAUCCUUCUCUUUACCUCUAAAACUGCUGCACCUUUCACCUGCCGCUGUCAGAAAGCUGCAUUCUGGUUCUGGAGUUUGUUGUGGUAUGUGACUGCAUCUUACUUUCCCACUGGUUCAUGCAUACCUCGUUUGGAAAAUGUCCUCUUCUGGGGACAGAUGUGAAAUAGCUGAUAUGUUUUAUCCACUGUUGGCAGCUUCUAGAUAUGAAUUGCUGUACUCUUGUAAAAAUAUGAAGAUGCAUCCGCUUAAUGCUUUUUCCCUUGACUCCAGCAUGUUCUGCUCUUAUAUUCCUCAUUUAGCUUCAUGCUAAAGCAGUGGGUUUGGCUUACACAAUAACAAAAAGAAUAAAAUUGUCUGUGUAGUAAGUAAUUAAUUGGAUAUGUUUUUGUAAUUUCAAAGUUUUACACUUUAAAAUGCUACUUGAGAUGGCUCAAGCAGCUGUAAGACUUUCUGGGACUCAUUUGGUGAUCACUGUGUGAUUCACUGGUAACAAAUUUUGCAUAAUGUGUGUCUUCACCUGAGCACCAGGAAGAUGCUCACAAACUGUGUUCUACAUUCUCUGCUCCUGCAAAGAUCUGCUGGUGUGAGUACGUGAUCUCUGUGGCUCUGGCUAUGCCUCAGUCCCAAAGCGUGACUGCUCUUUUUGUGCAAACUUGCAGCCUAGCAAGGUUGGGCAUGUUAUGUAUGCGACAAGAUCUUUCACUAUAACAUGCUCACCGGUUUCUCCUUCGAGUACUGUGUAGCUAGAUAGGAUUUUUUUCCAAACUUGCUAGCAAGAGUAGAUCCAAAGAGAUACUUACGUGCUUAUCUCUUUACACUUGUGUUAAAAUCAGUGGGAAAUUAAAAGCUUAGGAUUUAAAUACUUAGAAUUUGGAACUAUCCCAAGAUCCUUGUCAUCAAAAAGGCAAUGGCCUCGUUUUAUGCAGAUGUCCUAGCACUCAAAGGGUGCAUAAAUUACUGCAUCACUUAUCAAUUUCUCUUUAAUGUAUUCCUUUCUUAUAUCUGGGGCACUGUUAAUAGAGAAAAAGGAUUAAAAAGCAUAAAAAUAACUUGUAUGUAAGUUUCUUUGAGUUGAAAUUUUAUCAGUCAGCCUGUCAGCACUAACAUAUGGGAAACAUAGUUUUGCUACCGUGCAUAGCAGGGGCUAAAAGUGCUGUUCAGACCAUGUGCUCAACUCCUACGGAAGAGGGACUUUGUAGCACUUGUGCAGCCCACUCACAAAUUUAAGGGGUGACAUCUAUGGAUUCUGAAGAUAUGGUAACCAAAAUAUUGAUCUUGUUGGAGAUAAUGUAAAGUGGGGAGGGCAAAAGGACACAAAGGAAAUCUUCUAGAUCAGUGAGGGAUUCAGUAAAAUUUCAGUUAUUCCGUUUCUUAAAAGCCUAUUGUAUUGCUCUUGCUACAUUGAAACAGUAAUUGUAGAUAAUAGGGAAUUUUUAUGUAGCUUUUCUGUAUCUUGGGCUAACUUGCAGUAACAUAUAACAUCUCCUUGUAUCAAUUACUGUAAAGUACUAAAGAUCCCUACUGUUUUUGUUUUGUUUUGCUUCCUAAAGCCCCCUGCUGCUGUUGAUUACACCUAGAUCUGCUACUGAUUGGAACUGUUAAAAGGCAAAGAUAGCGUUGGAUGGUUUCUGAAUCAUUUAAUUGUAGAACUAAUAAGAUGUUUUCACUGGGACCUAAUAGAACUGAUAAUAUUAAUUAUCGAUAAUUGCAUGAACAAAGUAUAUUCUGUAGUAUGUUAAUAGCUGUGUAAUACACACUGAACUUAGUGCAUGUGACCCUUGAAAAACCGUUUUCUUAAUACAGCAAUACUUGCCACUUAAUGUCCAAAAUAGGCAUAGAGUUACUUGGCUUAUCUGUGUAAGAACCACUUCAAUUCUGUGCCCUUCUCCACUGUCCGCUCAAACUCUCAGCUCUGACGAGGUUGAAAUGUGAUUUAUGAAUACAUACAAGGAACUCCUAAGAUGAAGAAGAAUGAAAAUACAUCAUUAGUUAUGAAUGCUAAGAUUUGAAAUGUUGACUUUUCUAUUAUGUUUCAUGAUUUUUAAAUUCUAGCUAGAGAAUUUUCAAGGAAGAAAAAACACGGGAAAUGACUACCUAGGUAAAGAAAAAAGGUAGGAAAGGAGUCUGAGGUGGCCUUAGUGCCUCAUAUAUCUUCAGCAAGAUUUGGAGCAUCCAGGAAAUGGAGCUGCAGAGCAACUCUAGCAUGGCCAUGUGUAUCUUGGAGGGCAUUACGCACAGUUGAAGGAGUCUACCAAUUAUGACUCAUGAUUAACUCACUAUUUCUUUCUACAGUUUUGCCAGAUUUGCUCUCCUCGUCACAUACAUACAAUCCCCUCAUGUGGUGCAGAGAAAGUGGCAGCAGGGCCUUCUGAGGGACCAGCUGAAUCUUCAGUUUCCAAAUUGUUCUGCUGUAGUCAAUCCAAUCAGUUUGCCUUUUGUCUGCAAUCGCGUCAUAUUUUUUUUCUCAGUUAUCUACAUUUUAAAAUAUAAUUUGCGUUUUACCCUUUUGUUGGGUAAAAUGCUGGGAGGUUUGGAAAGCCAUACUAGAGAAAAUAAGUAUCAUGUGUAACAAUGUGUGCUCUUUAAAUUUAUGCAUACGUAAUAAACAUCAUAGAUUCAGAACUGAGGCUGGAGGGAGCAGAGCUGAUCUCAGUACUGAAUGAUGAAGAUUGUUAAUUUUUGUAACAUUCAAAUUUCAUGGAAUGUGAAGAGUUAAACAUUAGUUAUUGAAUUCAUACUCCCUACAAAUUUUGGCUUUAAAAUCAAGACAACAAGAUGCUACCUUCCAGAAUAAAGGAAUCAGUCAUCCACUUUGCACUUCAGUAGACUCUUACUUCCCUUGACCAAUUAUCCAUAUUGAUUAUUUGAUUAAAAAAGCGUAGAAUAAAAUUACACUGCUAUAUCUAGAAGAGGAAAAAAAAAUCUACUUAGAAGCAGAUAGCUUUCCUUCUGUUUUUCUCUUUUUUCUACACAGACAAAUGUGUUAGUAUAAUGCUCUUUGAAUGUACUAACAGCUAUCAGGAUCUGUUUCUUUUCUUUGGUCUGGUCUGUAUUUUUGCAGAGACCAUUUCAUGCUAGAUGAACAGCAGCUGAGAGUUUUGAACCACAUAUUAUAGUUAAGAGAGAAAAUGAGAUCAAUUUUUAAAAUGAGAAAAAAGUCUCGAGAAAUUGAUUUCUGUAGUUUCCAUUGACAGGUAACUUUUGUCUGUUUAUAGUUGGAAAAAUGCUUUUCCUAACUACUGUUAAGCAAAAUAGUACCUGCUGGUCCCUGAAAAGCCAGCGGCUGCUCUCACAGAUUCCUGUAAGAUUCUGCACUGGAAUUUAGUUUCAAUGGAGUGAGUUUGAAUGUAAUCUUAUCUGCACACAUACUGUAUUGAUAAAGUGCAAUGCAUUAUUAGUAAAAUUAUUUUGAACUGAGCUGAUGAAAAGGAACAGUCACAGUUCGUUGCAUUUUUUUUCUCUUCAUCCUCUAUAAAGAAAAAAAAAACAAAACCACAAAACCAAACCAAAACAAACCUUAAUUAUUGCAUUCCUAUUGCACUUUGAAAUGUUGGAAUUCUUCUGGCAACUGAUGCUUGUAGUCCGUGAAAGUCUUGCAAGGAUUGUAUAGUGGUGCACUACAAUCAAUUGGAAGCGCUAGCUGAAAGCUCUCAAUGCACUUUGAGAAAGCCUGUGUAGGGAAACAACUGCAGUUCGUGCUGCUGCAAAGUACUGCAGUAUUCUUUACCUUAAUCCCUGGCAGCUAUCACCUCCAUUUUGUUGGCUUGUCAUCAGCAUCUCUAUCAGAGGAAAACUCCAAUGCAUGUAGCAAGAAACGAAGCGUGUAGGGGAAAAACAGAAAGGCUCUUGACUGAAAUAGUCCUUUAAGUUAUUAACAGACAAGUGUGCAUGUCAGAAAAACACACUUGUUUGCUGUGAGUAUAUGCAAUAGCUGAUGGGUAAAGAAACAGAAACCUUAAUUGCUGCUCGAGUUUAGGUCACUGUUCAUUCAUUCAUUCAUUGCCGGAGCUAUAAACUAUUCAUAUGUUGCCACAGCAUGUUACUUACACGCGACUGAGGGUGAAGGAAGUAAGAGCUAAGAUGCUUCAUAGACAUCGACAUCGGGGGGAUUAACAUGUCUCCUUCAUUAAUAUAUAUGUGCAUACUUCAAUGUUGGAGAAUUGAAACUGUUUCAAAUGAGAUUAAAGCUGUAUCUCUUAAGGUCUUCUAUAGUACUUAAAAACACUUACAUUUUUUGCAUCAGUCUUGCCAGUUUCCUCACCAUUUUACUUUUCAUGUGCCAGUGGGGUAGAAGUGCAGGCACAGUGCUCAUCGCUUUCCGGCUGCCUGGCUUUCUGUUGUUUUUCUUUAGCUAGAUAUGCUCUCUGUACUUGCUAGCCAUCAUUAAGCAUAUAUGAAACUCUGUAGAGUGGCAGGCGUGGAUUCUGAGUGACAUUUCUGGCAGCAUUUUCCUUGUAUAUGGCAGCAGGCCUGAUUCUCUGAAAUUUUAAGCAUGUACGAUCCGUAUUUGCUUCCGCUGAAUCUGUAGGUACUCUGUCCUUUCAGGAAACAUGCUGCUCUGUGCUAAACCUUGGGCAGCUAAGAGAUGAGAAGGUCCUGGAAAUUUAACUAACUGCCAUAUGACUUGGUUCUGGAGAGCAGCAAGAGUACAGCGAGUGCGAAGGCAUUGCCGCUCCUACUGUGUUAGUUACAGACCCAGUAAUCGCCCCCUGUGAAACUAGGCUUGUACAUCAGUAGUGAAUUGUUCAGUAAUGUUUAUUGGAGCUCUUUAAAAUAUAUUUGCAAUGUAUAAAACACUUUGAUAUAUAGAAGCUCACAUUCUAAUAAGAUUACAUUAAGUAUCCUAAUAAGAUCAAGGCUUGAAAUUAUGUUUUUC
Molecule: long non-coding RNA, 6439 nt
Organism: Pavo cristatus (Indian peafowl)
Lineage: Eukaryota; Metazoa; Chordata; Aves; Galliformes; Phasianidae
Source: Ensembl